GAAUACAGGCAGAUGUGCAAUCGUUUCAGGAAAUGGGACCUGGCAACCUUCACAGUAUCACGUCUGUGCAGUGACCAUUUCAUCAAAGGUGCCAAAUCUGAUGACCUGCUGUCCCCUGAUUGGGUUCCAUCUGUCUUCUCUCACACCCCUGCCACCAAAAGGAGGAAGAGGGAGAAAGACAUGGAAAGCUUGUCCCAUCAUUUCUAUUUUGGCCACAGAGAGAAGAGCUUCGGCUGUCAAUGCCCAUGAUAUUUAGACAAACUUACCCUAGAUGUGCCUGCAUAAUUAGUUAAUAGAAAAACCCAAAGACUUAGAAGCAAGAGCACAAACAUAUUCGACCUAUAAGCACCCUCAAUCAUUCCUUCUGGUUAAAUACUACAAUAAUACAAUGUAAAUAUGCAAUGAUUUAUUUAUACAAACACACACUGUAAAUAAUAAUAAU
Molecule: long non-coding RNA, 442 nt
Organism: Alosa sapidissima (American shad)
Lineage: Eukaryota; Metazoa; Chordata; Actinopteri; Clupeiformes; Clupeidae
Exons: 2
Source: RefSeq, a predicted model, not a curated record